GGGUUGUGAGGUUAAGCGACUAAGCGUACACGGUGGAUGCCCUGGCAGUCAGAGGCGAUGAAGGACGUGCUAAUCUGCGAUAAGCGUCGGUAAGGUGAUAUGAACCGUUAUAACCGGCGAUUUCCGAAUGGGGAAACCCAGUGUGAUUCGUCACACUAUCAUUAACUGAAUCCAUAGGUUAAUGAGGCGAACCGGGGGAACUGAAACAUCUAAGUACCCCGAGGAAAAGAAAUCAACCGAGAUUCCCCCAGUAGCGGCGAGCGAACGGGGAGCAGCCCAGAGCCUGAAUCAGUGUGUGUGUUAGUGGAAGCGUCUGGAAAGGCGCGCGAUACAGGGUGACAGCCCCGUACACAAAAAUGCACAUACUGUGAGCUCGAUGAGUAGGGCGGGACACGUGGUAUCCUGUCUGAAUAUGGGGGGACCAUCCUCCAAGGCUAAAUACUCCUGACUGACCGAUAGUGAACCAGUACCGUGAGGGAAAGGCGAAAAGAACCCCGGCGAGGGGAGUGAAAAAGAACCUGAAACCGUGUACGUACAAGCAGUGGGAGCAC
This 551-nucleotide ribosomal RNA is filed under the name Escherichia coli. Its description in RNAcentral is "partial 23S ribosomal RNA". It matches the Rfam family "Bacterial large subunit ribosomal RNA", at positions 1 to 582 of the family's 2925-position model. The record is from RNAcentral. Lineage: Bacteria; Pseudomonadati; Pseudomonadota; Gammaproteobacteria; Enterobacterales; Enterobacteriaceae.